RNAcentral lists this long non-coding RNA (661 nucleotides) under Manihot esculenta (cassava). Its description in RNAcentral is "long non-coding RNA (MESC_LNC006800)". Lineage: Eukaryota; Viridiplantae; Streptophyta; Magnoliopsida; Malpighiales; Euphorbiaceae. The record is from RNAcentral.
UUGACAAUCCUUCUCUAUAUGCUUACUACAUCAUUGGUUAUUACAGAUGCUCUCUAUUCAAGAUUUACUAUGUUUCUGAAAGAUUUCUUGCAUGUUUCAUUCUUAUUGGUUAGUAAAAAGCUGAAAGGAUUUGCAGUUAUUGACAAAUUGUUUCCUUCCUCUUCCCGCAUUUGAACAACAAUGUUCAUGGAAGUAUUACACUGAAUUCACCAAGCUUCUUGAGAUUUUGGCAUGUUCCCCUGCAUCAAUCUUAAGCCCUCAGUUCCUUAUAAAAGAUCAUAAUUACAUUAAUUACAUCGGAAGUAUAUUUGAUCAUCAUUUUCUCGUUUCAAGUCAACAUUCUUCCUCCUUCUGCCAUUUGUAACUCAACAUUCCAAAACUAUAUGCAACCGACUUGUAGAAAACGUUCCCAAAGUUCCUUGAGAACAAUUUGUAGCCAAUGGUUGCUCCAGCACGCUCUGGUUGAGCAGUAUUUUACGUGGAUUUCAAUUCGGACUAGGAGCACUUUGGCAAGAAAACUCUGUUGCAUCAGACCAUUGGGUCCUGUGUAAACAGUAGAAGAUUGUGCAAUUCUCCAAUUGAUAAUGAUGAAACUGAAAGGGAGAAGCAGAUAAAUUCAAGUUUGGAAGCUGUUUUAGAAGACAACCUUGUAAAUCAUUUG